UUGGACCUGCGUUAUUCGUGAUAUGUAUUGCAGAAAAGCCGAGAAUAUAUUGGGAGUCGGGCCAUUAGUGGCAUGCGCGCCGUUAAUUCGGAUACAUAAAGCUGACAAGGUAGAUUCCCACCUGCAAUAAUGGCUUGUACCUGACAAGCAUACACGGUAUCUGCGGGUCAUCU
RNAcentral lists this non-coding RNA (173 nucleotides) under Candidatus Cloacimonetes bacterium HGW-Cloacimonetes-2. RNAcentral describes it as "6S RNA". It matches the Rfam family "6S / SsrS RNA". Rfam says of the family: E. coli 6S RNA was the first non coding RNA to be sequenced, but its function was unknown until recently. It consists of 184 nucleotides that fold into an extended hairpin structure with a large single-stranded internal bulge. The 6S RNA specifically associates with RNA polymerase holoenzyme containing the sigma70 specificity factor. Lineage: Bacteria; Pseudomonadati; Candidatus Cloacimonadota. The record is from RNAcentral.